This 497-nucleotide ribosomal RNA is filed under the name uncultured bacterium. RNAcentral's name for it is "partial 16S ribosomal RNA". It matches the Rfam family "Bacterial small subunit ribosomal RNA", at positions 28 to 507 of the family's 1533-position model. The record is from RNAcentral.
GACGAACGCUGGCGGCGUGCCUAAUACAUGCAAGUUGAGCGAUGAAGAUUGGUGCUUGCACCAAUUUGAAGAGCAGCGAACGGGUGAGUAACGCGUGGGGAAUCUGCCUUUGAGCGGGGGACAACAUUUGGAAACGAAUGCUAAUACCGCAUAAUAACUUUAAACAUAAGUUUUAAGUUUGAAAGAUGCAAUUGCAUCACUCAAAGAUGAUCCCGCGUUGUAUUAGCUAGUUGGUGAGGUAAAGGCUCACCAAGGCGAUGAUACAUAGCCGACCUGAGAGGGUGAUCGGCCACAUUAGGACUGAGACACGGCCCAAACUCCUACGGGAGGCAGCAGUAGGGAAUCUUCGGCAAUGGACGAAAGUCUGACCGAGCAACGCCGCGUGAGUGAAGAAGGUUUUCGGAUCGUAAAACUCUGUUGGUAGAGAAGAACGUUGGUGAGAGUGGAAAGCUCAUCAAGUGACGGUAACUACCCAGAAAGGGACGGCUAACUACGUG